UCUAGAACCGAUAACCCCCGUUCAACCUCACCUUUCCUUGUCUCUCCCGCCUAUAUACCGCCGUCGUCAGCUUACCCUGUGAAGGUAAAUAGUAAGCA
Molecule: ribosomal RNA, 98 nt
Filed under: Perca fluviatilis (European perch)
Lineage: Eukaryota; Metazoa; Chordata; Actinopteri; Perciformes; Percidae
Description: partial 12S ribosomal RNA
Source: RNAcentral